Non-coding RNA from Hysterangium stoloniferum, 84 nucleotides. The record is from the annotation of a GenBank genome assembly. Lineage: Eukaryota; Fungi; Basidiomycota; Agaricomycetes; Hysterangiales; Hysterangiaceae.
GGUCAGGUGGUGUAAUGGUUAACACCCCUGCUAUAUAUGCAGAAGCCUAUGCAGAAGCCCUGGGUUCAAUCCCCAGUCUGGCCA